UACGAAGGGGGCUAGCGUUGCUCGGAAUGACUGGGCGUAAAGGGCGCGUAGGCGGCGACAUCAGUCAGAUGUGAAAUUCCUGGGCUUAACCUGGGGGCUGCAUUUGAGACGGUGUUGCUUGAGUCUGGAAGAGGGUCGUGGAAUUCCCAGUGUAGAGGUGAAAUUCGUAGAUAUUGGGAAGAACACCGGUGGCGAAGGCGGCGACCUGGUCCGGAACUGACGCUGAGGCGCGAAAGCGUGGGGAGCAAACAGG
This 253-nucleotide ribosomal RNA is filed under the name uncultured bacterium. RNAcentral's name for it is "partial 16S ribosomal RNA". It matches the Rfam family "Bacterial small subunit ribosomal RNA", at positions 524 to 776 of the family's 1533-position model. The record is from RNAcentral.